This is a small nuclear RNA of Myodes glareolus (Bank vole), 107 nucleotides long. The record is from RefSeq and is a predicted model, not a curated record. Lineage: Eukaryota; Metazoa; Chordata; Mammalia; Rodentia; Cricetidae.
GUGCCCGCUUUGGCAGCACAUGUGCUAACACUGGAUCUAUAAAGAGAAGAUUGGCAUGGCCCCCACACAAGAAUGCCACGCAAGUUUACGACAUGUUCCGUGUUUCU